RNAcentral lists this long non-coding RNA (600 nucleotides) under Coffea arabica (coffee). Its description in RNAcentral is "long non-coding RNA (CARA_LNC000549)". The record is from RNAcentral. Lineage: Eukaryota; Viridiplantae; Streptophyta; Magnoliopsida; Gentianales; Rubiaceae.
AAUCAAGCACACAUACUUGAUUGUGGCGUCCUCUACCGUUAAAUCUGUUCUUGAGUGGUCCAAGUUCGGGUUCAACUCCGUCAAAUCUUCAUCGUGUUCCUCUAGAUCCGAAGUAGCUUCCGCGUCUCGUAUCAGCUGGCAUCAGAGCUAGUUAGAGGUAUCACGAAUAUCCUUUUUAUCGUUUUUAGAUCUAUUUUAGUCUUCUAAAUUCGUAGCUCAAGUGCUCGGGUUUGUCAAGUCCGAAAUCUGUCUUUGUUGUUUCCUUGUCAGAAAUCUGUCUUGGUUGUUUCCUUGUCAGAAAUCUGUCUUUGUUGUUUAGUUGUUGUCCGAAAUUUUCUGUCCAGGUUUGUCUUGUGUUUAUGUUCUGUUUAAAUCCAGAAAAAAAAAAAAUCUCUUGUGUUGCAUACCUUAUUGUCAUUCCCUUGAGUCGUUGCUGGAAUUAAUUGCUGGGUUGCCGAAUCUGUUUGCACUUGUUUCUUGAACCUUUGUGUUGUUGCUUUGCAAAACUCGAACAUCAAAACCUUAUUGGGGAAGUCUUGAGCUUCUUGGAUCAAAGAGGUUAAUCUUGGCAGUCUUGAAACCUGAAAUAAACCUUCAACC